UACGGAGGAUGCAAGCGUUAUCCGGAUUCAUUGGGUUUAAAGGGUGCGCAGGCGGAAUGAUAAGUCAGUGGUGAAAUCCUACAGACUCAACAUGUAGAACUGCCAUUGAUACUGUUGUUCUUGAGUACACUUGGAGUGGGCGGAAUGUGUCAUGUAGCGGUGAAAUGCUUAGAUAUGACACAGAACACCGAUCGCGAAGGCAGCUCACUAAAUUGUAACUGACGCUCAUGCACGAAAGCGUGGGGAUCAAACAGGAUUAGAUACCCUGGUAGUCCACGCUGUAAACGAUGAUCACUCGAUGUUGGCGAUAUACUGUCAGCGUCUAAGCGAAAGCAUUAAGUGAUCCACCUGGGGAGUACGAUCGCAAGAUUGAAACUCAAAGGAAUUGACGGGGGCCCGCACAAGCGGAGGAGCAUGUGGUUUAAUUCGAUGAUACGCGAGGAACCUUACCUGGGCUAGAACGCUGGACGACCGUCCGUGAAAGCGGAUUUCCCUUCGGGGCGGCCAGCGAGGUGCUGCAUGGUUGUCGUCAGCUCGUGCCGUGAGGUGUCGGGUUAAGUCCCAUAACGAGCGCAACCCCUAUCAUUAGUUGCCAUCAGGUCAUGCUGGGAACUCUAGUGAAACUGCCUACGCAAGUAGUGAGGAAGGUGGGGAUGACGUCAAAUCAGCACGGCCCUUACGUCCAGGGCUACACACGUGCUACAAUGGCCGGUACAGUGGGCAGCUACCUGGUGACAGGAUGCAAAUCUCCAAAACCGGUCUCAGUUCGGAUCGAAGUCUGCAACUCGACUUCGUGAAGUUGGAUUCGCUGGUAAUCGUAUAUCAGCAAUGAUACGGUGAAUACGUUCCCGGGCCU
Molecule: ribosomal RNA, 856 nt
Filed under: uncultured bacterium
Lineage: Bacteria
Description: SSU rRNA
Rfam family: Bacterial small subunit ribosomal RNA
Source: RNAcentral